CUACGGGGGGCAGCAGUGAGGAAUAUUGCACAAUGGGGGGAACCCUGAUGCAGCAACGCCGCGUGGAGGAUGACGCAUUUCGGUGUGUAAACUCCUUUUAUAUGUCAAGAAAAUGACGGUAGCAUAUGAAUAAGCACCGGCUAACUCCGUGCCAGCAGCCGCGGUAAUACGGAGGGUGCAAGCGUUACUCGGAAUCACUGGGCGUAAAGGAUGCGUAGGCGGGUUGGAAAGUCAGGUGUGAAAUCCUACAGCUUAACUGUAGAACUGCACUUGAAACUUCUAAUAUAGAGUAUGGGAGGGGGAGAUGGAAUUAGUGGUGUAGGGGUAAAAUCCGUAGAUAUCACUAGGAAUACCUAAAGCGAAGGCGAUCUCCUGGAACAUUACUGACGCUAAGGCGUGAAAGCGUGGGGAGCAAACGGGAUUAGAUACCCCAGUAGUC
RNAcentral lists this ribosomal RNA (439 nucleotides) under uncultured bacterium. Its description in RNAcentral is "partial 16S ribosomal RNA". It matches the Rfam family "Bacterial small subunit ribosomal RNA", at positions 339 to 795 of the family's 1533-position model. The record is from RNAcentral.